GGCACUCGACUUCAAGGGAUGACGAAUUUUGUAGCUGGAAAAAGCAAAAGAAAAGCCAAAAAGUUAUAGGAUCCUUUCUUUGUGAUUUUUUAGCAAGAUCGAUGCCCGGCAAUGGUGUCAAAUGCCACGGGAAGAUGAAAAAGAGAGAGAGGUGGGAUCGACAUUUACCAUGAACUCUGGUGGCAUCUCCAGCUCCAAUUUUCGAUGGACAUAGGUUUAGGAAAAUCAGCAAAAAUGAGGAAGAAAGAGAUAGAGGAAGAAGAGAGGAGGGCCAAUGUUCAUCGUGAUAUGCCUUGGAGGGGGG
RNAcentral lists this long non-coding RNA (304 nucleotides) under Elaeis guineensis (African oil palm). RNAcentral's name for it is "long non-coding RNA (EGUI_LNC071074)". Lineage: Eukaryota; Viridiplantae; Streptophyta; Magnoliopsida; Arecales; Arecaceae. The record is from RNAcentral.